GGAUUGUGGCUCAGUGGUAGAGCGCUCACCUAGCAUGUGCAAAGCCCUGGGUUCGAUCCUCAGCACCA
RNAcentral lists this transfer RNA (68 nucleotides) under Marmota monax (woodchuck). RNAcentral's name for it is "tRNA.Ala". The stretch from base 5 to 65 matches the Rfam family "tRNA", at positions 6 to 65 of the family's 71-position model. Rfam says of the family: Transfer RNA (tRNA) molecules are approximately 80 nucleotides in length. Their secondary structure includes four short double-helical elements and three loops (D, anti-codon, and T loops). Further hydrogen bonds mediate the characteristic L-shaped molecular structure. tRNAs have two regions of fundamental functional importance: the anti-codon, which is responsible for specific mRNA codon recognition, and the 3' end, to which the tRNAs corresponding amino acid is attached (by aminoacyl-tRNA synthetases). tRNAs cope with the degeneracy of the genetic code in two manners: having more than one tRNA (with a specific anti-codon) for a particular amino acid; and 'wobble' base-pairing, i.e. permitting non-standard base-pairing at the 3rd anti-codon position. The record is from RNAcentral. Lineage: Eukaryota; Metazoa; Chordata; Mammalia; Rodentia; Sciuridae.